Molecule: long non-coding RNA, 420 nt
Organism: Mastomys coucha (southern multimammate mouse)
Lineage: Eukaryota; Metazoa; Chordata; Mammalia; Rodentia; Muridae
Exons: 2
Source: RefSeq, a predicted model, not a curated record
AGAGGUAACCCUGGUCUCAUGUCUUCAGGCUCAAGCCAUUCUGUGAAGGCAUAGGCUCCUGAGGUCAGGAUGAUGAUCUUGCCAGGAGAGCAACUUCAGCUUUGUGAGUAGGUGCUGAAGGCUUAUCUGGAGGGACUAAGGUGACCAUCAGGGCCUAAGUGCUCCUGGCCUGCAGCUAGCAAAAGAAAGGAGGCUCUGUCCUACAACUACAAAGAACAGAAUUUUACCAAAAGCUAGCUCCAUGAGUCUUGAGGAGAGGGGCUUGAUGAAGGCAUCUCAUUAGGAUUGAGUGGCGUCCAAAGACUCCCACAUACCACAGCAGAGAACAUCGAGGAUGCUACAGACACUUAUCUCACAAUCAAAGGUUUGUCUUGACGAUUGGAUCAGCAGGAGAAAAUUAAACAUGUGACAUCAAUCUCA